This 305-nucleotide ribosomal RNA is filed under the name uncultured bacterium. Its description in RNAcentral is "bacterial SSU rRNA". It matches the Rfam family "Bacterial small subunit ribosomal RNA", at positions 334 to 636 of the family's 1533-position model. The record is from RNAcentral.
UGCUCCUACGGGACGCAGCAGUGAGGAAUAUUGGUCAAUGGGCGAGAGCCUGAACCAGCCAAGUCGCGUGAAGGAUGACGGCCCUACGGGUUGUAAACUUCUUUUGUCAGGGAGCAAUUGGGUCCACGUGUGGGCUUAGCGAGAGUACCUGAAGAAAAAGCAUCGGCUAACUCCGUGCCAGCAGCCGCGGUAAUACGGAGGAUGCGAGCGUUAUCCGGAUUUAUUGGGUUUAAAGGGUGCGCAGGCGGAGGUGCAAGUCAGCGGUCAAAUUGCGGGGCUCAACCCCGUACUGCCGUUGAAACUGC